UACGUAGGGUGCAAGCGUUGUCCGGAAUUAUUGGGCGUAAAGAGCUCGUAGGCGGUCUGUCACGUCGGAUGUGAAAACUCGGGGCUCAACUCCGAGCCUGCAUUCGAUACGGGCAGACUUGAGUUCGGCAGGGGAGACUGGAAUUCCUGGUGUAGCGGUGAAAUGCGCAGAUAUCAGGAGGAACACCGGUGGCGAAGGCGGGUCUCUGGGCCGAUACUGACGCUGAGGAGCGAAAGCGUGGGGAGCGAACAGG
RNAcentral lists this ribosomal RNA (253 nucleotides) under uncultured bacterium. RNAcentral's name for it is "partial 16S ribosomal RNA". It matches the Rfam family "Bacterial small subunit ribosomal RNA", at positions 524 to 776 of the family's 1533-position model. The record is from RNAcentral.